GAUGAACGCUAGCGGCAGGCUUAAUACAUGCAAGUCGAGGGGCAGCAGCUUUAUAGCAAUAUAGAGGCUGGCGACCGGCAAACGGGUGCGGAACACGUACACAAACUUCCUUUAAGAGGGGGAUAGCCCAUAGAAAUGUGGAUUAAUACCCCGUAACAUAUCGGUGUGGCAUCACACUGUUAUUAUAGUUUCGACGCUUGAAGAUGGGUGUGCGGCUGAUUAGGUAGUUGGCGGGGUAAAGGCCCACCAAGCCUUCGAUCAGUAGCUGAUGUGAGAGCAUGCGCAGCCACACGGGAACUGAGACACGGGCCCGACUCCUAAGGGAGGCAGCAGUAAGGAAUAUUGGUCAAUGGACGCAAGUCUGAAACAGCCAUGCCGCGUGAAGGAUGAAGGUCCUCUGGAUUGUAAACUUCUUUUAUAGGGGGCGAAAAAAGGGAAUUCUUUCUCACUUGACAGUACCCUAUGAAUAAGCACCGGCUAACUCCGUGCCAGCAGCCGCAGUAA
RNAcentral lists this ribosomal RNA (504 nucleotides) under uncultured bacterium. Its description in RNAcentral is "partial 16S ribosomal RNA". It matches the Rfam family "Bacterial small subunit ribosomal RNA", at positions 28 to 523 of the family's 1533-position model. The record is from RNAcentral.